ACGGGUGAGUAAUACAUCGGAACGUAUCCUGGAGUGGGGGAUAGCCCGGCGAAAGCCGGAUUAAUACCGCAUACGCUCUGAGGAGGAAAGCGGGGGACCUUCGGGCCUCGCGCUCAAGGGGCGGCCGAUGGCGGAUUAGGUAGUUGGUGGGGUAAAGGCCUACCAAGCCGACGAUCCGUAGCUGGUCUGAGAGGACGACCAGCCACACUGGGACUGAGACACGGCCCAGACUCCUACGGGAGGCAGCAGUGGGGAAUUUUGGACAAUGGGGGCAACCCUGAUCCAGCAAUGCCGCGUGUGUGAAGAAGGCCUUCGGGUUGUAAAGCACUUUUGUCCGGAAAGAAAUCAUCGGGGCCAAUACCCCUGGUGGAUGACGGUACCGGAAGAAUAAGCACCGGCUAACUACGUGCCAGCAGCCGCGGUAAUACGUAGGGUGCGAGCGUUAAUCGGAAUUACUGGGCGUAAAGCGUGCGCAGGCGGUGCUGUAAGACCGAUGUGAAAUCCCCGGGCUUAACCUUGGGAACUGCAUUGGUGACUGCAGCGCUGGAGUAUGGCAGAGGGGGGUGGAAUUCCACGU
Molecule: ribosomal RNA, 577 nt
Filed under: uncultured bacterium
Lineage: Bacteria
Description: bacterial SSU rRNA
Rfam family: Bacterial small subunit ribosomal RNA
Source: RNAcentral